UUUCCGACUUCGUGCUUCUUUGCAUGCCCAUACUGUAAUAUGAUAUGGAAUGUAAAGAAGUAUGUAGUUUGGCC
Non-coding RNA from Angiostrongylus costaricensis, 74 nucleotides. Lineage: Eukaryota; Metazoa; Nematoda; Chromadorea; Rhabditida; Metastrongylidae. The record is from Rfam.